AGCAAUAUCAUCAAUCAUGCAUAUUACCUCGCUUAUUAGCAAGGCACUAAUUGACUGGAUGAAAAUCCAGGCUGCUGUUCCAAAAGCACUACUGCUGCAGUGAAUUUAGGCAUGAAACGAAUGGCACUACUUACAUGGCGUAAGGUAUCCAUGUGCUUCACAGUUUAGCAUACGAAGCACUACUGCAUUUGAAAAGCAGUUCAACGCCAAUACCUACUUACAGCCACCAGCAGGCCCACAAGGUUGAAUUAUCUGCAUCCUCUCUCUCGUUACUGAAACACAACGCCCUACCAAAAUGAAACCGCUUUAAGAGCGCUCUCAACGCGAUCUUAAGCCAUAUAAAGCACAAGUAGAUGCCGCUGUUAAGAGCGUUCUGAGAACGCUCUUAUCUGCCAUGUUUUAAGAUUGUGCCUUCUCAAGCGUUCUUAAGCGAUCUCAAGAGAGCGCUCUUUGCAGGGAAUCUUAAGCGUUCUCAGCGAUCUUACCCGUUCUCAAGGACAUUCUCAAACCAUUUUCUCACGCAUUCUUAAGCAAUCUUUCACCACUCUUAAGCGUUCUUACACCGUUCUCUCACCAAUCUUAAGCGUUCUUAAAGCGUUCUCAAGCGUUCUUACACCGUUCUCUCACCAUUCUUAAGCGUUCUUACAGUGUUCUCAAGCAUUCUUACAGCGUUCUCUCACCAUUCUUAAGCGUUCUUACAGCGUUCUCAAGCGUUCUUACAGCGUUCUCUCACCAUUCUUAAGCGUUUUUACAGCGUUCUUACACCGUUCUCUCACCAUUCUUAAGCGUUCUUACAGCAUUCUCACAGCGUUCUUAUAGCGUUCUCACAGCAUUCUCAAGUGUUCUUACAACAUUCUCAAGCGUUCUCACAGCAUUCUCAAGUAUUCUUGCAGCGUUCUCAAGCGUUGUUACAGUGUUCUCAAGCAUUCCGUCCCCCAGCAUUCUUAAACCGUUCUUAAGGGCGCCUUCGAACAGAGGUAUGCCCAACAAAAACCUAGGGCCACCAUCUCGCUAGAGCCCGAUUCUCACAGCAGACCACUUUCCCAUUCGGGCAGACACACAUAUGAGGACCAGGUCCACCAUGCCAGCACUUAUACCUACAACAUAUCUACAAUCACACGCUCGAUCCAUGCUGGAACUGCAUAUGGUACUGCAGCAUACCAAAUGAAUGAGUGUUAUGAUGGAUCCCUGAACGCGAUCACAAGGCCUAUGCUAAGGGGCUCGCAACUAGGCGCAUGGACAGGACAGCCCAAUAGCCAAGUACAGCCCCACACACCGCCUACACUUCCCACA
Molecule: long non-coding RNA, 1293 nt
Filed under: Volvox carteri
Lineage: Eukaryota; Viridiplantae; Chlorophyta; Chlorophyceae; Chlamydomonadales; Volvocaceae
Description: long non-coding RNA (VCAR_LNC004396)
Source: RNAcentral